GGAGGGGGGUGGCUCAGUGGCAGAGCAUCUGCUUGGUAUGCGGAAGGUCCCAGGUUCAAUCACAGGCACCUCCA
Molecule: transfer RNA, 74 nt
Filed under: Sphaerodactylus townsendi
Lineage: Eukaryota; Metazoa; Chordata; Lepidosauria; Squamata; Sphaerodactylidae
Description: tRNA-Thr
Rfam family: tRNA
About the family: Transfer RNA (tRNA) molecules are approximately 80 nucleotides in length. Their secondary structure includes four short double-helical elements and three loops (D, anti-codon, and T loops).
Source: RNAcentral